AGUGAACGCUGGCGGUAGGCCUAACACAUGCAAGUCGAACGGCAGCACAGUAAGAGCUUGCUCUUACGGGUGGCGAGUGGCGGACGGGUGAGGAAUACAUCGGAAUCUACUUUUUCGUGGGGGAUAACGUAGGGAAACUUACGCUAAUACCGCAUACGACCUACGGGUGAAAGCAGGGGAUCUUCGGACCUUGCGCGAUUGAAUGAGCCGAUGUCGGAUUAGCUAGUUGGCGGGGUAAAGGCCCACCAAGGCGGCGAUCCGUAGCUGGUCUGAGAGGAUGAUCAGCCGCACUGGAACGGAGACACGGUCCAGACUCCUACGGGAGGCAGCAGUGGGGAAUAUUGGACAAUGGGCGCAAGCCUGAUCCAGCCAUACCGCGUGGGUGAAGAAGGCCUUCGGGUUGUAAAGCCCUUUUGUUGGGAAAGAAAAGCAGCAGGUUAAUACCCCGCUGUUCUGACGGUACCCAAAGAAUAAGCACCGGCUAACUUCGCG
This 492-nucleotide ribosomal RNA is filed under the name uncultured bacterium. RNAcentral's name for it is "partial 16S ribosomal RNA". It matches the Rfam family "Bacterial small subunit ribosomal RNA", at positions 29 to 507 of the family's 1533-position model. The record is from RNAcentral.